This 773-nucleotide long non-coding RNA is filed under the name Linum usitatissimum (flax). RNAcentral's name for it is "long non-coding RNA (LUSI_LNC005984)". Lineage: Eukaryota; Viridiplantae; Streptophyta; Magnoliopsida; Malpighiales; Linaceae. The record is from RNAcentral.
UCGAUCUAAUCUAUUUCAUCUUCUUGUCCAUGACUCCAUUGAGUACUCUUGCUCUAUCGGAUGUCCCAUCCUAUUUCCGUCGCGACCCUCUGAUUUUUAUCCCUCGGGAUAUAUCCGUCGGAAACCAGUCCCACCCGAAGUAGUCCGAUCCAUCUCCACCAUAAUCCAGUCCCAUCACCAGCUGUCCGAUCCUUCCCAGCCGGAAACCAACCUGUUUAGUCUCUCCGCCGGAGACACCAUCACCAUUACCAGCUGUCUGAUCCUUCUCCGUUGGAAACCAGUCUCGAUUCGUUUCCGCCGAAAAAUAGUCUCAUCACCAGCUGUCCGAUCCUUCUACGCAGGAAAUCAAUCCCAUCACCAGUCCUAUUUUUCUCAGCCAGAAACAUGGGUCACUGGUUCAACAGAAUCAUUAACCAGUGUUGGUUCCGUGGCUUGGCCGGUUUUUAGGGAUAAUACAUAAUUCGUCUGUUUGUAUAAUUACUUUGCUUCUCCAAGAGCAAAGUUGUUGCCGAAACAAAUCAUGUUGCUUUCCUCCCUUCUUUCCGCAGAGCUUCCUUCCAAGCAAUUUCCAAUUGGCGAAAUUGUUAAAAGCCCUUUUAUUUUUCAUUGGCUGGAUCCAGAUUGAUGUUUGCUUCCUUUCUUCAAUUCGUGGGGAGUAGUUAUUUUUUCAGUUCAUGUUGUUUCGUUCUUUGUAGUAGAAAUCAUUUUUUUCAGACCCUAAUUUUGAUGUUUGCUUGUUUUCUUUAGUAGAAAUCAUUUUUUCAGGUAGAAGU